GAUGAACGCUGGCGGCGUGCCUAAUACAUGCCAGUCGAGCGAACAGACGAGGAGCUUGCUCCUCUGACGUUAGCGGCGGACGGGUGAGUAACACGUGGAUAACCUACCUAUAAUACUGGGAUAACUUCGGGAAACCGGAGCUAAUACCGGAUAAUAUAUUGAACCGCAUGGUUCAAUAGUGAAAGACGGUUUUGCUGUCACUUAUAGAUGGAUCCGCGCCGCAUUAGCUAGUUGGUAAGGUAACGGCUUACCAAGGCAACGAUGCGUAGCCGACCUGAGAGGGUGAUCGGCCACACUGGAACUGAGACACGGUCCAGACUCCUACGGGAGGCAGCAGUAGGGAAUCUUCCGCAAUGGGCGAAAGCCUGACGGAGCAACGCCGCGUGAGUGAUGAAGGUCUUCGGAUCGUAAAACUCUGUUAUUAGGGAAGAACAAAUGUGUAAGUAACUAUGCACGUCUUGACGGUACCUAAUCAGAAAGCCACGGCUAACUACGUG
This 497-nucleotide ribosomal RNA is filed under the name uncultured bacterium. RNAcentral's name for it is "partial 16S ribosomal RNA". It matches the Rfam family "Bacterial small subunit ribosomal RNA", at positions 28 to 507 of the family's 1533-position model. The record is from RNAcentral.